RNAcentral lists this ribosomal RNA (471 nucleotides) under uncultured bacterium. RNAcentral describes it as "bacterial SSU rRNA". It matches the Rfam family "Bacterial small subunit ribosomal RNA", at positions 28 to 481 of the family's 1533-position model. The record is from RNAcentral.
GACGAACGCUGGCGGCGUGCCUAAUACAUGCAAGUAGAACGCUGAAGACUUUAGCUUGCUAAAGUUGGAAGAGUUGCGAACGGGUGAGUAACGCGUAGGUAACCUGCCUACUAGCGGGGGAUAACUAUUGGAAACGAUAGCUAAUACCGCAUAACAGCAUUUAACCCAUGUUAGAUGCUUGAAAGGAGCAAUUGCUUCACUAGUAGAUGGACCUGCGUUGUAUUAGCUAGUUGGUGAGGUAACGGCUCACCAAGGCGACGAUACAUAGCCGACCUGAGAGGGUGAUCGGCCACACUGGGACUGAGACACGGCCCAGACUCCUACGGGAGGCAGCAGUAGGGAAUCUUCGGCAAUGGGGGCAACCCUGACCGAGCAACGCCGCGUGAGUGAAGAAGGUUUUCGGAUCGUAAAGCUCUGUUGUAAGAGAAGAACGUGUGUGAGAGUGGAAAGUUCACACAGUGACGGUAACUA